RNAcentral lists this ribosomal RNA (598 nucleotides) under uncultured bacterium ECS14. RNAcentral describes it as "bacterial SSU rRNA". It matches the Rfam family "Bacterial small subunit ribosomal RNA", at positions 896 to 1482 of the family's 1533-position model. The record is from RNAcentral.
AAAACUCAAAGGAAAUUGACGGGGGGCCCGGCACAAGCGGUGGAGCAUGUGGUUUAAUUGAAGCAACGCGCAGAACCUUACCAGCCCUUGACAAUACCGGAUUCGCGGUUAGUGGAGACACUUUUCCUUCAGUUAGGUUGGAUCGAAUACAGGUGCUGCAUGGCUGUCGUCAGCUCGUGUCGUGAGAUGUUGGGUUAAGUCCCGCAACGAGCGCAACCUUCGCCUUUAGUUGCCAGCAUUCAGUUGGGCACUCUAGAGGGACUGCCGGUGAUAAGCCGGAGGAAGGUGGGGAUGACGUCAAGUCCUCAUGGCCCUUACGGGCUGGGCUACACACGUGCUACAAUGGCAGUGACAAUGGGCAGCGAGACCGCGAGGUCGAGCUAAUCUCCAAAAGCUGUCUCAGUUCGGAUUGUUCUCUGCAACUCGAGAGCAUGAAGUUGGAAUCGCUAGUAAUCGUGGAUCAGCAUGCCACGGUGAAUACGUUCCCGGGCCUUGUACACACCGCCCGUCACACCAUGGGAGUUGGUUUUACCCGAAGGCGUUGCGCUAACCAGUUUACUGGAGGCAGGCGACCACGGUAGGGUCAGCGACUGGGGUG